AACUUAAAUAACUCUCAAUAAAUCACGCAAUUCCCAAAACCGUUGGUACAAGUCAUAAGCCUUUGUAAGAGUAAUUAUACAAACUAUAUACGACAUUUUUCCAAAACAAGAAAUCAAUGAAAUGUAGCUACAAACGAAUGUGACUCCGAGGCCAGCAAACGCAACAACAAGUUACUAUAAGUCUCCAACGUGACGACCCGCACAACUACUAUUGAUCAAUGCCUGCAUAUUACACAAAAAAUAUAUAGAAGUGUACUAUAAGCAUACAACAGCGGUACCCAAUAAGUAUCACGAUUAACCUCGGUAGGGUAGUGACGAAGAGCAGUCAAGACACCUACUGGUCAAAUAAAAUGAACAUGAUAUAAUAAUAAACUAUCUUGAUAAAGAUAACGAGGUAAUAUCAACAUCGAAACAAAAUCAAAAUACAAAUAAUAAGAACAUGGAGUACGGGGGUAGUAAUGAAUGACAACCAAGUAAAUCAACACUAACAUAAGAGGAACAGAGACAAGUAAGAAUGAAUUCAAUUAAAAAAGGAAUGUCACCUCAAUCAAUCACAUUAUUUCAACUACACAAUUUCGACCAUCUCAAUCCGAGGUUUCUCAUAUCAUGAUCUUAACUUCUGAAUCUUCCGCACAUGUGGAACCUUGUGCCCCCAUAUUUUUCAUGUCACUUUUAACACAAAAUCCACAUUCCAUACAAUACAUAAGGUCCAUACAAUGCACGAGAUAUGUCCAAGAAGAAACAUUUACCUAAUAUAAGUACAAUAACAAUUUCUAAAUAAAUUGGGAAAUCCAACGAGAAAAGAUGAUAUUUUUUCUGUUAAAAUCAUUUGAUUAAAGAAAACAUCUCUUUUUAAUUUUAAAAAUACAAUGUUGAAUGAAUUAUUCCCUUUUACAUGACAUUUAAUAACUUAAAAACUUAGUAGAAAUACACUUUUAAGUAAAAUACGAUCUCAGACAUUUUAAGGGGGGGUAUAAUGGAGAAACUAAUUGAAGUAAGGUUGCAACGAUUAUUAAAGUUUAAUGUAUUGGAGUAUAUAUAUAUAUAUAUAUAUAUAUAUAUAUAUGUAUAUAUAUAUAUAUAUAUAUANNNNNNNNNNNNNNNNNNNNNNNNNNNNNNNNNNNNNNNNNNNNNNNNNNNNNNNNNNNNNNNNNNNNNNNNNNNNNNNNNNNNNNNNNNNNNNNNNNNNNNNNNNNNNNNNNNNNNNNNNNNNNNNNNNNNNNNNNNNNNNNNNNNNNNNNNNNNNNNNNNNNNNNNNNNNNNNNNNNNNNNNNNNNNNNNNNNNNNNNNNNNNNNNNNNNNNNNNNNNNNNNNNNNNNNNNNNNNNNNNNNNNNNNNNNNNNNNNNNNNNNNNNUAUAUAUAUAUAUAUAUAUAUAUAUAUAUAUUUAUAUAUAUAUAUAUACAUGGUGAGGUAUGGAUAACAUUGUAGGUUCUAACACAAAGAAUCACAGCAUUAAGGGAAUUUAAAUAGUUUAAACAUUUGAAUUGGUAGCAACAAAUAAAUACAACAGCAGGAAAUCUACAGCACCACCCUUAGUGUUUUUACUCUUAUUCUCACCAUAAGAACAAAUAUUCACUGUAAAUGUUUAUUAUUGCAGCGUGCAACCCGAUUCAAUCAUAUAGUAUUAUUGUGGAGUGCAACCCUAUCCAAAUCAUAUAAUAUUUUUGAGGCGUGCACCCCAAUCCAAAUCAUAUAAUACUGCUGCAGCUCAAUCCAAAUCAUACAAUGAUGUUGUGAAGUGCAACCCAAUCCAUUUAAUAUUAUUGCAACAAACAACCCGAUCUAUAUAAUAUUAUUGCGGCGUGCAACCUGAUCCAUUUAAUAUUAUUGCGGUGUGCAAUCAGAUUCAUUUAAUAUACAAACCAACACUAAUAACAAAAUAAUUUCGGCAAGGGAACAAUAAGGAAACAACCAUAUCUCGACAAGAGAGUCAGCAACAAGAGUAAACAUAUCCUGGCAACGGAACAAACAGUAAAUAUUAAAAUGUCCAGUAAGGAAAUCAGAUAUAAUCAAACCUGUACCGAUAAUUAACUUUACAAUGAAGCCUCAACUAAACAACAAGACAUAAUAAAUACACCAGUAAUCUGUCACGACCCCAGUUUGCCCUACGUGAACCAUCGUGACGACACCUAGUCUCUACGAGUAGAUAAGCCUAAAUUGUGGAAGUAAAACAAUUCAAAACUGGAAUAAAGUAAUAACAGUGUUUAAAGGUUCCGCUUGGCAUACACCAUGUUCAUCCCUCAAUAACAAUACAUAAAUCCAAGACCGGGAAACCCAUGAAUCACAAGCUAAGAAAAUACUAAAUAGCUCUAACUCAGGAAAUGUCUAACCAGAAUAGAAAAUACAGAAGGGCUAAGUACUCAAAAGCACGAAUAAAAAGAGAUUUCGGGGUAUGCGGAUGCAGUAGAUAUACCACGAAUGCCCUACGGUAGUCGCCUCGCCUCAGGGGCGAUAGGACUCAGUAGAAGUACCUGGAUAUUCACAUGAAAAACAUGCGCAGAAAGAGGCAGGAGUACACCACAACAGUACUUAGUAAGAGUCAAUCCUAACCUCGGUCGGGUAGUGACGAAGAAGGUCAGGGCCCUACUGAGGUUAAACAAAAAUAUAAAGUUCAACAGUAUCGAAUAGAACAGAAUGAAUAAGUGCAGAUGUGAAAAUAAUAUAGAAUAUACAAGACAGCAAUAACUACACAGAAACAAGGUAAAUAUAAAAAAAAAAGCACAGCUGAGAACCAAUAAUACCGAUCGGGAAUAUCACAGGAUACCGUCCUGUAGUCCCAAAAUCACGUAUCUGAUAAGUCUCCCAGGAUACCAUCCGGUAGUCCUACUACCACUACGUAGGGAUCUACCAAAAAUCUCGUUACGUAGUACUAAAUAUAAAUACCCAGUACUGGGGGAAACUACCUGAUGCAUUCCCGUAGUUCCAUAUAAUUAUGCAUGAGGAUCUACCGGAAUCCCACAUCCAUAGUCCCAAAAUAAACAGGCGAGGGGUAUCUACCGAAAUCCCACAUUUGUAGUCCCAAUGUAAAUACACAGCAGGGACAAGAAAAUAUUCAGAAAUGGAAAUUUCAUAUUAAGGCAACAAGUAAUUCUAUCCUAGCAUGCUACACAGAGUUCAAGUAAAGCAGGUUGAACAAAUAAGGCAAUGAAAUCACUUAGAUAUGCUUUACUAAACAAACAACGGGUCUAAUAAUACAAGUAAUGAAAACAGGAAAAGGAACAUACUAGUAAAUACUUAAUGAAAAUCGAACUUUUCAACAAUUUGUACAAGUACACACUCUUCACCUCAUUGUACAAGGCAUUUCAAUUACGAAAUAUACCUAUUCUAAGGGGAUGGUACCCCAUACAAGGAUAGACAAGCCACUUACCUCGAACCGGCUCAAAAUCAACCUCCGACCACAUUCUUGACACGAAUACUCAACCCCAAAUGGCCCAAAUCUUUUCAUUUCAAUUUCUUAAUGUAAAUAAAACUUCAAAUAAUUGAUUCCACAAUUAAAUUCUAAGCUAAUACGCAAAAUUAGGUAAAACUACAAAAUUGCCGCUCGAGCCCACAUCUCGAAAUCGGGUAAAAUUUAUUUUUUACAACAAUCACACUCUCACGAAUCUAAUUAUAUCAAAAUUCUCCCAAUCUGAUGUCAAAUUCCCAAUCAAAACUCAAUUUCUUAGUCUAAUAACUUUUCCCCCAAGUUUCCACCAAAUUGCAAAAUUAAUGGAUGGACUUAAGUGUAGAUUCAUGGAAAUUAUUCUAUACCGAGUACGAAUCACUUAAUCAAAUUACCCAGGUGAAAAUCUCUUCAAAAAUUGCAUUCUCUCGAGCUCCUAAGUCCAAAAUAUGAGAUAUAGUUCAAACACUCGAUUUUGGGUUUUAAAAAUUUGCCCAGGUGUUUCCUUCUUUGCGAAUGCGGUCAACGCCUCGCGUUCACGAAGCAGUAAAAUUGACCUUGACAAAAGUCCUCUUACGCGAACACGACAAGAACACUCGCGAACGUGAUUAUUCCUCAGACUUACCCUUCGCGGAUUCACUCCCUCUCUCGUAAACGCGAUAAAUAAACUUGACCAUAGACCCAGUUGACGAAUUACUCUACGCGAACGCGCUACCCUUCUUGCAAACGCGAUGCACGAACACCCAGACCUUCGCGAACGCGGAGCCUUCCUCGCAAAGAGAAAGGCUAAAAUUCCACUAUCUUACACUGACUCUUUGCAAAUGCAAGGGUCCACUCGUGAAAGCAAAGAGUAAAUAUCUACAACAGCUGAACCUACAAUUCUGCAACUCCACACUUUAUGAAUUGGUCCAAUUGAUCACCCGAAACUCACUCGAGACCCCUGGGACCUCAACCAAACAUACCAACAUAUCCCAGAACAUCGUUCAAACUUGUUCCACCUUUCGGAAUUCUCAAAACAACAUCAAAACACCUCUUUUUCAUUGGAUUCAAUAAAAAUUCAAAAAACACUAAAAACACGCUUCCGAUCAAAAAGUCUAUCAAGCCUCUUUUGAAUGACCUGAAAUUUUUCACACACGUCACAUUCAACAGUACGGAGCUACUCCAACUUUCGGAAUUCCAUUGCAACCCUGAGAUAAAAAUCUUGCUAUAGAACCGGAAACUUCAAAAAUUCAACUUUCAGCAUUUCAAGCCUAUAUUAGCUACGGACCUCCAAAGCACAAUCCGAAUACGCUUCUAACCCCAAAAUAACACAACAGAGCAAACGAAACAAUCAAAUUUCCAUUCUGAGGCCGAAUUUAUACUAUUCUGAAUACGGUCAAUUUUCAAACACCUAAUAUCUCACUUACGGACUAAGUGUCCCAAAACUCUCUGAAACUCAAAAUCGAACAUCUUGGUAAAUCAAAAUAGCAUAAAUAAACUUGGGUAAAGCAGUCAAUAGGGGAUCAGGGCAUUCAAAUCUUAAGACAUCUGGUCUGGUUGUCAAAUCCUCCUACACUUAAACAUUGGUCGUCCUCGAACGAGCAUAGAUACAUACCUGAAGUAGUGAAACGAUGAGAGUAACAGCUGCGCAUAUUCUACUCGGUCACCCAGGUCUUCUCCUCGACUGGCUGGACCCUCCACUGAACCUUUAUUGAUGCGAUGUUCUUUGAAAUCAACUUUCUAACCUAUUUGUCCAAUAUUGCCACUGGCUACUCAACAUAGGAUUUAUCCUUGUCCAACUAGACUGAACUGAAAUCCAAGAAGUGAAACAGAUCACCGUGAUACCUCUGGAGCAGUGAAACAUGCAAUAGCGGGUGAACUCCUACCAACAUGGGAGGUAAGGUAAGCUCAUAACCAACCUCCCUAACACACCUCAAUAUCUUAAAAGGGCCAAUAAACCUCGGACUCAACUUCCAUUUCUUCCAAAAUCUCAUAACACCCUUCAUAGGCAAAACCCGAAGCAAAACACGCUCUGCAACCAUAUAGGAAACAUCACGAACCUUCUAGUCCGUGUAACUCUUCUAUCUAGACUAGCGUGUACAGAGUCUAUCCUGAAUCACCUUAAUCUUCUCCAAAGCAUCCUUAGCCAAGUCUGUAGCAAAUAAUCUAGCCCCACCCAGCUCAAACCACCCACCGGAGAACUACACCGCCUACCAUAUAAAGCCUCAUACGGUGCCAUCUAAAUGAUGGACUUAUUGUUCUUGUUGUAAGCAAACUCUGCCAAUGGCAUGAACUCAUCCCAAGACCCUUGAAACUCAAUCACAUAUGUGUGGAGCAUAUCCUCAAAAAUCAUAAUAGUGCGCUUGGACUGUCUAUCCGUCUGAGGGUAAAAUUCUGUACUCAACUCCACCUGGGAACCCAAUUCAUGUUGAACGGACCUCCAGAACCGUGAUGCGAACUAAGUACCUCUACCAAAAAUGAUGGACACCGGAAUACCAUGGAGACGAACAAUCUUCGAAUAUAAAUCUCUGCCAACAGCUUCGAAGAAUAAGUAGUACACACAUGAAUAAAUUAGAGGACUUGGUCAGUCGAUCCACAAUCACCCAAAUAGCAUCAAAAUUCCUCAAAGUCCGUGGGAGCCCAACUAUAAAGUCGAUGGUGAUUCACUCCCACUUGUACUUUAAACUCUCUAUCUACUGAAGUAACUCACCCGAUCUCUGGUGCUCACACUUCACCUACUGGCAGUUGAGACACCGAGCUACUAACAAAACUAUGUCUUUCUUCAACCGCCUCCGCCAAUAGUGCUACCUCAAAUCCUGAUACAUCUUCGCGGCACCCAGAUGGAUGGAAUACUGUGAACUCUGCGCCUCCUCUAGAAUCAACUCUCGCAGCUCAUCAAUAUUGGGUACACAGAUCCGACCCUACAUCCUUAAUAUUCUAUCAUCACCAAUAGUCACAUCUUUGGUAUCAUCGUGCUGAACCUUGUCCUUGAGGAAAAGCAAACGAGGGUCAUCAUAUUGCCGCUCCCUGAUAUGAUAAAAUAAGGAAGAUUAAGAAAUCAGGCAAGCUAGAACUCAACUAGGAUCUGAAAGGUCCAAUCUAAUAAACUGGUUGGCUAAUGCCUGCACAUCCAUCGCCAUAGGCCUUUAUGAUGCUAGCAAAUAUGCCAAACUCCCCAAAAUCACCACCUAGCGACUUAAAGCAUCGGCCACCACAUUAGCCUUGCUUGGGUGAUUCAAAAUAGUGAUAUCAUAGUCAUUCAGCAACUCUAACAACCUCCUGGUGACAAUUUAGAUCAUUUUUCUUUAACAAGUGCUACAAGUUCCAAUGGUCAAUAUAAAUCUCAUAGGUAACCUAGUAUAAAUAAUGGCACCAGAUCUUCAGGGCGUGAACAAUGGAAGCUAACUCAAGGUCCUGAACAGGGUAAUUCUUCUCAUAUAACUUCAACUGUCUGGACGCGUAGACAAUCACCCUACCAUCCUGCAUCAACACAACUCCGAGGUCAAUCCUCGAGCAUCACAAUUGCCGUAUAAGACCCCGAACCUGAAGGCAACACAAAAAAUGAGUUUUGGUCAAAGUUUUCUUAAGUUUUAGAAAGCUCACCUUGCACUCCUCUUUCCAAUGAAAUGAGAACCCUUCGGGGUCAACCUGGUCAUAGGGGCUGCAGUCGAUGAAAACCCCUCCACAAAAUGACGAUAGUAGCCCGGCAAGACAAGGAAACUGUGUAUCUCUACAGUUGUCGAUGAUAUGGUCCAACUCUGCAUGGCCAUAAUUCGUUUGAUCCACCUGAAUACCCUGAGUCGAUACACCGUGUCCUAAGAAUGCCACUGAAUUCAGCCAAAUCUCACAUUUUGAGAUCAUAGCAUAUAUUUUCUUCUCUAUCAGAGUCUAAAGCGCAUUCCUCAAGUGUUGCUCAUGAUCUUCCCGACUCCAGGAAUCACCAGAAUAUCAUCAAUAAAGAAUAUAACGAACGAGUCAAGAAAUGCACGGAACACACAGUGCAUUAAAUGCAUAUAGGAUGCUGGGGCAUUGGUCAAUCCAAAUGAAAUAACAAGGAACUCAUAAUGACUAUAUCGCAUCCGGAAGGCAUUCUUCAAGAUAUCUGUCUCCUGAAUCUUCAACUAAUUGUAACCCAAGUGCAAAUCAAUCUUAGAAAACACCAGUGCGCCCGGUAGCUGGUCAAACAAAUCAUCAAUACGAGGCAAAGGAUACCGGUUCUUCACUGUACCCUUGUUCAACUGGCAAUAAUCGAUACAUAUAAUUAUUUUACACGACAAACAAGACUGGAGAAUCCUGAGGUGAUACACUAGGCCGAAUAUAACCCUUAUCAAGCAAGUCAUGUGACUGAUCCUUCAACUCCUACAACUCAUAAGGAGCCUUAGGAUACGGAGGAAUAGUAAUGGGCUGAGUGCCCAGCAACAGAUCAAUGCCAAAAUCAUUAUCUCUAUCAAGUGGCAUGCCCGGAAGGGUAGCUAGAAACGCAUUAGGAAAAUCAUGUACUAUUGGGACUAAAUCAGCUGAACGGGUAUCAAUACUGACAUCUCUCACAUAAGCUAAAUAUGCAUCACACCCCUUCUCAACAAUUCGCUAAGCUUUAAAUAAAGAAAUAACUCUACUAGGAGUGUGAUCUAAAGUACCCCUCUACUCAACACGCGGUACUCCUGUCAUAUCCAUCGUUAUUUUGGCAUGACAAUCAAGAAAAGCAUAGUGGGACGACAACCAGUCCAUGCCUAGGAUAAUAUCGAAGUCAACCAUGCUGAGUAAUAAUAAAUCAGCUUUGGUCACAAAACCACUAAGAACAACCAAAAACGACAGAUAAACGUGAUCCACAACAAGAGAAUCUCCCACUGAAGUAGAAGCAUAAAUGGGGGAAUCAAAGAAUCCCAAGGUACACCCAAAUGUGGAGCAAAAUAAGAAGACACAUAAGAGUAAAUGGAGCCUGGUUCGAAUAGAAAUGAUGUAUCUUUGUGACAAACCAGCAUAACACAUGUGAUGACAGAAUCGGAGGCGAUAGACUCGAUACAGGCAUGAAUGGCAUAUUAUCUAGCUUGGCCUCCCCCUCGAGGGAAACCUCUACCUCCCCAACCUCUACCUCUAGUUGGCUGAGCAGGUGCGGUAGCAACUGGGUUGUAACCAUAUCUUGAGAAUUAUACAGGGAACGAUCGAAGUCUGUGGACGUGCACCCUCGCAAGUCAGGGGCAAUCCCUCACCAUAUGGCAUGUGUCACCACACUCAAGACAAGCUCUCGGAGGAUGUGGUGCUUGUGAUUAGCUAGGGGUAGGUCUUCUGGACUGACCUCUUAAAGCACCCCAUGCAUGAGGCGCACUAGAAACCAAAGGUGCAUAAUAAGGCUCUUGAGGCCUAGGAGGAGCUGGAGCACUACUGGCUGCUGGAAGAGUUUAAUGAACAAGGCGACCCAUAUAACCCCUACCAUGAUGAGCUGCAGCUGGAGUACGGGCACCAGAAUAAUGGCCCGACUCUUGAGACCUCUUGGCAUCCCUCUCCUUUUUUCUUUAGCAUGCAUACCCUCAAUCUUCCUAGCAAUGCUCACCACGUGCUGAUAAGAAAUAUCAAUCUCCAACUCAUGAGCCAUGCUAGAUCUAAUGUUGGGAAUAAGUCCCUCAAUAAACUGACAAACCCUCUCGCAGACAGUAGAAACCAAGGAUGGGUAAUGUCUAGCCAAGCUAGUGUAACGGACAACAUACUAUGAGACUGUCAUAGUACGUAGCGCAAAUGCUCAAGCUCUAUGAGGCAUGCGUCCCUGAGGCUAUAAAGAACAAACUCUCUCAUGAAUAGAUCAGAAAACUAAGUAUGAGCAAGUGAAGCAGCCUCAUCUGGACUGUCUAACUCAUAGGUGCGCCACCACUCAUAGGCGGCUCCUCGAAGAUGGAAAGUAGUAAAGGAAACCCCAGUGGAUCCUAAUAUACCCAUGGUACGGAGAUUAUGAUAGCACUCCUCCAGAAACCCCAAGGCAUCAUCCGAUAAUAAUCCACUGAAUAUCGAAGGAUCAUACUUCUUGAACCUCUCAAGUAUUCGCUACUCAUUCUCUGUAGUCGAUGCCCUAUCCUCGGGCUUAUCUGUCACUGCAGGCGGCACAGCAAUAACUUCUGGAACAAGAUCAGCAUGAACUCACUACAUAGGAGUAUGGGCGGCGGAAGACUCUGCUCCUCCCCCAACCUGAGAUGUGGCUACAGCAAGGGAAAGCAACCCUGACAGAGCCAGAUUGGUGUACAUGCUCAUGAACUGCGCCAGAGUUUCCUGAAGGGAUGGAGUAGUAGUAGAAAUAGGCGUGUCAUGUGUGGUGUCACGACCCCACUUCGCCCCCCAUGAACUAUCAUGAUAAAACCUAAUCUCUACGACUAGGUAAGACUAACAAGUGCGGGAAAUAAGAAACUGGUAAAAAUAUACAAUAAGAGCUAAAACUAACCAAAUGAAAACAAUAUAUAUAACAUAUCACUCAGCAUAUAUAACUUAACAUCUCAAAUUUCUUAGAAGACUAUCCCAAAAACCAAAAACACACGGGAAUACAAGCGGAAAGGAAAUACAGUAAAGUUCUCUAACUCUAGAGUGUCUACAUCAACAGUAAGGUAGAAAAGCUAACAUUAAUAAAUAGAAUAAAGAUAGAGACUCCUUGGUCUACGGAUGUGGUAGUUGUACCUCUAAAUCUCCAAAUGAUCUUUCUGCCUCAAGGGUUAUAAGACUAGGUAGAAGUGCUUGGAUGUACACAUGAAAGACAUGCGUAGAAAGGGCAUGAGUACACCAUAGCCGUACUCAUUAAGUACCAAGCCUAACCUCGGUCAGGGCCCCACUGAGGUAAAUAAUAAUAAAAAGACAAGAUAAGGUAAACAAUAUAAGUGAGAAUCUACAGUAAUAGUCUAUACAUGAUGAUAUGAGUACUGUCACACCUUCUUUUUCAUUAUACAGCUCUCAAGGGGCGUAAAGGAGUUUUUCCAAUUAAAGGACAAUCGGAACGGGAUUUGGUUUAUUGAUUAUUCAUUGUCGCCACUUGGGAGAUUAAUGGUGUCCCAAUUCACCAGUUGAAUCCCGAACCAAGGAAAAUUAUGACUCUUUUACAGUCUCUGAAUCAGAAAUCCGAGUAAGGAAAUCUGUUAACCUGGGAGAAGGUACUAGGCAUUCCAGGGUUCCGUGAUUCUAGCACGUUCACUUAAAUGUUGUAUUUGAUUUUAUCUGAUUUUAAUACAUGCUAGCUUAUUUGCCUUUUAUUUCGUAAACUGCUUUUUAUCACUGUUUAUUAUAAAAGAAUUGCGAAAUCGUGAAAUUGCAUUUUGUACCACGUCGCAAUCAAUGCACCCGUGGUAGUCGACACACUUCGACUUCGUCGAGAUUUGGAUUUGGGUCGCAUCAAUGCGCACCGAGUUUAAGAGUGUAAUGUAAUUAAAUCACGCUUAAAGAUUCUAAUGUAAUAUAUUUUGGGAAAAGUCAUGGUAUUCACUAAACGACCCUCCCAAAUUCAAAUGAUUUUUAAUAACCAAUUAUUGAGGGCCCCGUAUUUGUCAUUUAUUUUGACCGAGGCUCAUCUCAUUAUUUCCUUGAAAGGUCGACCCUAAAGAGACUAUGUUUUUUUUAUCUCGUCUCUUAAAAUAAAACAAAUCAUAGUUAAUUGUUAUUGAGAAAUACUAUAGCCAUCAGUAGAAAAUUAGUAGAUCAAAUGCCAUUUCAAAAUAUAACAUCCGAAUUACUCUUGGGCCCUUGCAUCAGGACUGAAACAGGCCCAAGCAGAGGCGGGCACCAGCAGGCUGCCUGUGAGGGAUAGAAUCCUAGGCAAAGCUCAAUGGGAAGAAACGAAGUCCCAGGUGGCUGUGGUGCCACGACUUGGGAUCGAAUCCAGUAAGAAGGGCAACAAUUCAAAUGGCUGUGAAGCCAACAGCGAACUCAAGUCGUAGAAAAACAUAAUAGUUUGUAGCAAAUAAAAACAUUGAUGAGAUCCGAUGCUAAUUUACUAAUAGCAAUUCACAAAUGCUAAUAGAAGGUUAAUAGUCAAUAUGAAAGCUAUCAAACUAAUCUACAUGCUGAGCUAGACUAAAAGCUCAACCAAACGAAACACCUGGACGCAUGACUAAAUAACAUAAGGCUAUUUUGAACUAUUGUUACUACUCAAUUUUAUUCUCAGGUCUUGUUACUACAUAUCAUAAGCUAUAACUAAAAUUUAAUAACACAACCAUUAUUCAAUCAUUUACUACAACAAAGUUUACUUAAUCCACUAGUAGAACAUUCAUCUAAACAAGACUGUUUCACAUAUGGAAACCAACAGAAAUCUAGUGAAUUCAGCAAUCAUUUUGAGCACAUUUCUUCAUUUGAUUCUUCAAUUCAAAUUACAUCGAUCCUUCGUAAUUCAUACAAGGCCAAGGAUAGUACCUGGAUGUUGAGAGGAAACAGGAAAAGAAGGAGACAGGAGCAGCAAUGCAACAGUGAUUCCAGAAUAUUUUCAACAACCAGUAGUUUAAACCGAAAUCAAACAGGAAAGACCAACAGGAUAAUUAAUAGCCAAAGCAAAUGAGCCAAAAAAACCCAAAUGCAGGAAUGCCAAAAUCCAAGCAGAAACUAACCAACAGACCCAAAUCAGCUUGAUACUAACUCGAUACUAACCCUGAAUUACGCUUAAACCUUCAACCAACUCACAUUUCAAUUAAAACCGGCUUAAACAUAUCCAAAUCUGUAGGAAACCAAACUAGUAACUCUCUGAAGUUUCAAAACCCAAACGUUGAACUAAAUUUGGAAAAUCAACAACUAGAAUAGAAAUCUUGAGUUAUCUAAUGGAAUAGUAGUUUUUUUCUGAUUUUCUUUUAGAUUUUUACUGUUUUUGGUUUUUCAGGAAAUCACUACAAUUUUUUUUUAUUUUUGAUUUUUGAAGAUUUUGGAGUUUGGAUCUCAAGUUUAAGAUCUGAAACUUGUAGAGGAAAUGGGGAAAUUUUUGUGAGGUUCCAAACUUGUGAAUAAAGUAAAUGCCAUGCCCUUUAAUAGGCACAAAUGAGGUCAGCCCUCAGAUUUUCAGAAUUCAAUCCAGUCCCUGAUUUUUUACAGCUUUGAUCCCUCA
RNAcentral lists this long non-coding RNA (12418 nucleotides) under Nicotiana benthamiana. RNAcentral's name for it is "long non-coding RNA (NBEN_LNC039160)". Lineage: Eukaryota; Viridiplantae; Streptophyta; Magnoliopsida; Solanales; Solanaceae. The record is from RNAcentral.